RNAcentral lists this ribosomal RNA (545 nucleotides) under uncultured archaeon. RNAcentral describes it as "bacterial SSU rRNA". It matches the Rfam family "Bacterial small subunit ribosomal RNA", at positions 509 to 1050 of the family's 1533-position model. The record is from RNAcentral.
CAGCCGCCGCGGUAAUACGUAGGUGGCGAGCGUUGUCCGGAUUUACUGGGUGUAAAGGGCGUGCAGGCGGGAGCGCAAGUCAGAUGUGAAAGCUCCGGGCUCAACCCGGAGACUGCAUAUGAAACUGUGUUUCUUGAGUGAUGGAGAGGCAGGCGGAAUUCCUCGUGUAGCGGUGAAAUGCAUAGAUAUGAGGAGGAACACCAGUGGCGAAGGCGGCCUGCUGGACAUUAACUGACGCUGAGGCGCGAAAGCGUGGGGAGCAAACAGGAUUAGAUACCCUGGUAGUCCACGCUGUAAACGAUGGAUACUAGGUGUGGGGGGACUGACCCCCUCCGUGCCGGAGUUAACACAAUAAGUAUCCCACCUGGGGAGUACGAUCGCAAGGUUGAAACUCAAAGGAAUUGACGGGGGCCCGCACAAGCGGUGGAUUAUGUGGUUUAAUUCGAAGCAACGCGAAGAACCUUACCAGGGCUUGACAUCCUACUAACGAAGCAGAGAUGCAUAAGGUGCCCUUCGGGGAAAGUAGAGACAGGUGGUGCAUGGCC